AAAACAUGCCCUGAAGAGGCAAACUCGUGCUCUAAUGCAGGUUGGGGAUGCUUCCAAUACUGCAGAGAAUCUCCGUUAGAGGCGUGUCAGUGGAUAAAGUUGUUAAGCCUGCUCUGACAUUUCCCAAGAGCUCCUCAAGGUUCUGUGCUCCCAACCUACAGAGACUACAGUUUUGAUCCAAGGGGAAAAAUUGACUUAACUG
This 202-nucleotide long non-coding RNA is filed under the name Homo sapiens (human). RNAcentral's name for it is "HSALNT0127766". Lineage: Eukaryota; Metazoa; Chordata; Mammalia; Primates; Hominidae. The record is from RNAcentral.